Molecule: ribosomal RNA, 496 nt
Filed under: uncultured bacterium
Lineage: Bacteria
Description: partial 16S ribosomal RNA
Rfam family: Bacterial small subunit ribosomal RNA
Source: RNAcentral
GAUGAACGCUGGCGGCGUGCCUAAUACAUGCAAGUCGAGCGAACAGACGAGGAGCUUGCUCCUCUGACGUUUGCGGCGGACGGGAGAGUAACACGUGGAUAAUCUACCUAUAAGACUGGGAUAACUUCGGGAAACCGGAGCUAAUACCGGAUAAUAUAUUGAACCGCAUGGUUCAAUAGUGAAAGACGGUUUUGCUGUCACUAAUAGAUGGUUCCGCGCCGUAUUAGCUAGUUGGUAAGGUAAGGGCAUACCACGGCAACGAUGCGUAGCCGACCUGAGAGGGUGAGGGGCCACAGUGAAGCUGAGCCGCGGUCCAGACUCCUACGGGAGGCAGGAGGAGGAAAUCUGCCGAAGUGGGGGAAAGCGUGACGGAGAAGCGCCGCGUGAGUGAAGCAGGUCUGCGUAUCGUAAAACUGUUUUAAGAGGGAAGAACAAAUGUGUAAGUAACGAUGCACGUCUGACGGUUACCUAAUCAGAAAGCCACGCCUAACUCCGU